This 907-nucleotide long non-coding RNA is filed under the name Olea europaea (common olive). RNAcentral describes it as "long non-coding RNA (OEUR_LNC008550)". Lineage: Eukaryota; Viridiplantae; Streptophyta; Magnoliopsida; Lamiales; Oleaceae. The record is from RNAcentral.
CUUUCAAACCCCACUGAUUUCACUUAAAAACAUGCACCGUAGCCCAAGUUAUGCUAUUUUCAACUAGAAGGACAGAAACUGAAAUUUCCACCCAGCAUAAAAUAAAACUUCAUACAAAUUAAUCCAACACUUUUAAAUUCUUGUUAACAUGCACUGUCUAAAAAUGGAACAAAAUAAACAUUAAAAAGCAUUUCUAAAAGUUCAUCUAAGUUCCAUGAAAUAUUUACAUAAAUAGAAAUAUUCACUAGAAAUUGAAAGAAUUAGAGAUUGCCGAUCACUUGCCAUUAUGCCAACCAUUGCCAUGCCUCGAUCUUAACCUGUAAAAUUAUUUGUAGGGAUGAGUACUAUAAAUAAUAAUCAGUAGGAAACACUUAAGUAAACGGUAAAAAUAUAUAUUUUCAGAAAUGCAAACUUUGGUCAAUUGUGUCACCGUCAAUUUCAAGCGAAUUGGUGAUCAGUCAGUCCGCUUACUCUUAGGUUUUGAUAACCCCAUUUCAUUUGUCAUAAUCAUCUCUUCAUCUCUUGUUUAAACCACCAAACGGUGAUUCCAUCAUGAGCAACACAAUAACACAUUUAAUGCAAACGAAAAUAUAUAAAUCCUACAUCACCUACUUAAACGCCAAAACACCCCUACCUUAAUGCUUGGAAUUUGAAAUAUCCUUUCGUGUCCAAAGAAUAAAAUGCAGCGUACGUCUUGCCCUUUUCUUUAGAAAUUUUCAGAUUCAAAGUUCUUUUUGUCUAUGGAAGAAGGGGCAAAAUAAUUUGAUGCAUAAGUAUAAUAGGGAGAGAGAGAGAGUGGCUAAAGAAGUUGAGAUUUCAGCUUUGAAAAAUGAACUCACGACUUAAAAUAAAAGAGACGGUUUCAUGGUAGUGCAAAAGUGGAUGUUAAAAUGCACUUAGUGGGUAG